RNAcentral lists this ribosomal RNA (267 nucleotides) under uncultured bacterium. RNAcentral describes it as "partial 16S ribosomal RNA". It matches the Rfam family "Bacterial small subunit ribosomal RNA", at positions 57 to 305 of the family's 1533-position model. The record is from RNAcentral.
GCAAGUCGAACGGAAACAGGACGCUGUGAUCUCUUCGGAGUGAACUUGUCGCUGUCGAGUGGCGGACGGGUGAGUAAUGCAUAUGAAUUUGCCUUGCAGUGGGGGCUAGCCCGGAGAAAUCCGGAUUAAUAGCGCAUAUGCUCUACGGAGCAAAGUGUGCCUCUUCUUGAAAGCAUACGCUUUGAGAGAAGCCUAUGUCGGAUUAGCUAGUUGGUAGGGUAAAAGCCUACCAAGGCGACGAUCCGUAGCUGGUUUGAGAGGAUGAUC